RNAcentral lists this ribosomal RNA (632 nucleotides) under marine sediment metagenome. Its description in RNAcentral is "LSU rRNA". It matches the Rfam family "Bacterial large subunit ribosomal RNA", at positions 2300 to 2925 of the family's 2925-position model. The record is from RNAcentral.
ACGGAGGUGUCCCAAGGUCUCCUCAGUGUGGUUGGAAAUCACACCAAAGAGUGUAAGGGCAUAAGGAGGCUUAACUGCGAGAGAGACAUCUCGAGCAGAUGCGAAAGCAGGGCCUAGUGAUCCGGCGGUAACUAGUGGAUGUGCCGUCGCUUAACGGAUAAAAGGUACUCCGGGGAUAACAGGCUUAUCUCCCCCAAGAGUCCAUAUCGACGGGGAGGUUUGGCACCUCGAUGUCGGCUCGUCGCAUCCUGGGGCUGAAGCAGGUCCCAAGGGUUUGGCUGUUCGCCAAUUAAAGCGGUACGCGAGCUGGGUUUAGAACGUCGUGAGACAGUUCGGUCCCUAUCCGUCGUGGGCGUAGGAUACUUGAAGAGGGUCUGCCUCUAGUACGAGAGGACCGAGGUGGACGAACCUCUAGUGUACCAGUUGUCCUGCUCAGGGCAUCGCUGGGUAGCUAUGUUCGGUCGGGAUAAACGCUGAAAGCAUCUAAGCGUGAAACCCACCUCAAGAUUAGGUAUCCCAUCUGGAUUUAUCCAGAGAGAGACCCCGGGCAGACUACCCGGUUGAUAGGUCAGAAGUGUAAGGACAGUAAUGUCUUUAGCUAACUGAUACUAAUAGGUCGAGGACUUGAUCGU